GACGAACGCUGGCGGCGUGCUUAACACAUGCAAGUCGAACGGAAAGGCCCUGCUUUUGUGGGGUGCUCGAGUGGCGAACGGGUGAGUAACACGUGAGUAACCUGCCCUUGACUUUGGGAUAACUUCAGGAAACUGGGGCUAAUACCGGAUAGGAGCUCCUGCUGCAUGGUGGGGGUUGGAAAGUUUCGGCGGUUGGAGAUGGACUCGCGGCUUAUCAGCUUGUUGGUGGGGUAGUGGCCUACCAAGGCUUUGACGGGUAGCCGGCCUGGGAGGGUGACCGGCCACCAUGGGACUGAGGUACGGCCCAGACUCCUACGGGAGGCAGCAGUGGGGAAUAUUGCACAAUGGGCGGAAGCCUGAUGCAGCAACGCCGCGUGCGGGAUGACGGCCUUCGGGUUGUAAACCGCUUUCGCCUGUGACGAAGCGUGAGUGACGGUAAUGGGUAAAGAAGCACCGGCUAACUACGUG
Molecule: ribosomal RNA, 468 nt
Filed under: uncultured bacterium
Lineage: Bacteria
Description: partial 16S ribosomal RNA
Rfam family: Bacterial small subunit ribosomal RNA
Source: RNAcentral